AAUUGUUCGCAAUGGGCGCAAGCCUGACGACGCAACGCCGCGUGGAGGACGAAGAUCUUCGGGUCGUAAACUCCUUUCGAUCGGGACGAACGGCCGGUGACCCAACACGUCACCGGAGUGACGGUACCGAGAGAAGAAGCCCCGGCUAACUCCGUGCCAGCAGCCGCGGUAAUACGGGGGGGGCAAGCGUUGUUCGGAAUUACUGGGCGUAAAGGGCGCGUAGGCGGCCUUCUAAGUCGAACGUGAAAUCCCCGGGCUCAACCCGGGAACUGCGUCCGAGACUGGAAGGCUUGAAUCCGGGAGAGGGAUGUGGAAUUCCAGGUGUAGCGGUGAAAUGCGUAGAUAUCUGGAGGAACAUCGGUGGCGAAGGCGGCAUCCUGGACCGGUAUUGACGCUGAGGCGCGAAAGCCAGGGGAGCAAAC
RNAcentral lists this ribosomal RNA (422 nucleotides) under uncultured bacterium. Its description in RNAcentral is "bacterial SSU rRNA". It matches the Rfam family "Bacterial small subunit ribosomal RNA", at positions 360 to 773 of the family's 1533-position model. The record is from RNAcentral.